GUCAUAUUACCUCCGUCCCAAAUUACUCGUCUUAGAUUUGUCUAGAUACAGAUAUAUCUAGACACGAACACAAAAACGUGUCUAGAUAUAUCUGUAUCUAGACAAAUCUAAGACAAGUAAUUUGGGACAGAGGGAGUACUUG
Non-coding RNA from Triticum aestivum (bread wheat), 142 nucleotides. The record is from Rfam. NCBI's taxonomy places the organism in Eukaryota, Viridiplantae, Streptophyta, Magnoliopsida, Poales, Poaceae.